GGCGGACGGGUGAGUAAUGCCUAGGAAUCUGCCUGGUAGUGGGGGACAACGUUUCGAAAGGAACGCUAAUACCGCAUACGUCCUACGGGAGAAAGUGGGGGAUCUUCGGACCUCACGCUAUCAGAUGAGCCUAGGUACGAUUAGCUAGUUGGUGAGGUAAAGGCUCACCAAGGCGACGAUCGUUAACUGGUCUGAGAGGAUGAUCAGUCACACUGGAACUGAGACACGGCCCAGACUCCUACGGGAGGCAGCAGUGGGGAAUUUUGGACAAUGGGCGCAAGCCUGAUCCAGCAAUGCCGCGUGCAGGAAGAAGGCCUUCGGGUUGUAAACUGCUUUUGUCAGGGAAGAAAUCUUCUGGGCU
RNAcentral lists this ribosomal RNA (361 nucleotides) under uncultured bacterium. RNAcentral describes it as "bacterial SSU rRNA". It matches the Rfam family "Bacterial small subunit ribosomal RNA", at positions 97 to 461 of the family's 1533-position model. The record is from RNAcentral.